This 447-nucleotide ribosomal RNA is filed under the name uncultured bacterium. Its description in RNAcentral is "partial 16S ribosomal RNA". It matches the Rfam family "Bacterial small subunit ribosomal RNA", at positions 29 to 523 of the family's 1533-position model. The record is from RNAcentral.
AACGAACGCUGGCGGCAGGCUUAACACAUGCAAGUCGAGCGCCCCGCAAGGGGAGCGGCAGACGGGUGAGUAACGCGUGGGAACGUACCCUUUACUACGGAAUAGCUCUGGGAAACUGGAAUUAAUACCGUAUGUGCCCUUCGGGGGAAAGAUUUAUCGGUAAAGGAUCGGCCCGCGUUGGAUUAGCUAGUUGGUGGGGUAAAGGCCUACCAAGGCGACGAUCCAUAGCUGAUCUGAGAGGAUGAUCAGCCACAUUGGGACUGAGACACGGCCCAAACUCCUACGGGAGGCAGCAGUGGGGAAUAUUGGACAAUGGGCGCAAGCCUGAUCCAGCCAUGCCGCGUGAGUGAUGACGGCCUUCGGGUUGUAAAGCUCUUUUGUCCGGGAAGAUAAUGACUGUACCGGAAGAAUAAGCCCUGGCAAACUUCGUGCCAGCAGCCGCCGCAG